GUUUCCCCCGCCAUGCGCAGUAAGCACCAGCGUCAUUCCAGCUCACGUGUACCACCGGAAGCUCCAGUUUCUCUCGGAUGCCAGAGCCGGGACCUGCAGGCUGACAGGCAAGAGGAGUUAUGCCUGCAAGGUCUCAGUUCCUCAAUCCUCGCCUCCCAGCUGAUCAGCUAGUCCUGUCAGCAUGUAAGGUCCACCUCCAAUAAAGUGCAUGAGAUGCAGUUACCACCCAUAAACAGCAGCGACCGAGGAUGGAAACCAUCUCAGCCAAGUGUGCCUGACAGCCGGGUUUGGGGCCCAAUGCAUCAUUUUUGCGGAAAAACAAUCACCUUGACAAGGUACUUCCAAACUGUGUGUUCCUUUGUGCAACACCAAGACGAUUCUCUGUUUCUAACACACCCGACCCAGAUUUUUUCUAUAAAAGUAAAAUCUAUGCCAGUAAAAAAUCUCUCGAGUAUAUGUAGUUCUGGGAGGUUUUGUUGUUUUGUAAAGAUGGGGACCCACUGUAUAGCAGUGGUUCUUAACCUUCCUAAUGCUGUGACCCCCCCAAACCAUAAAAUUAUUUUGGUUACUACAUCACAACGGAAUCACCCCUAUAAUUUAUGUGCAUAUGUGUGUUAGGGAUUUUUCUGAUUUUUAAACCGCCCCCCAUAUCUCUCUCUCUCUCUCUCUCUCUCUCUCUCUCUCUCUCUCUCUCUCUCUCUCUCUCUCAAUAGGGUUUCCCUGGGUAGUCUUGAUUGUCCCAGAACUCACUCUGUAGGUCAGGCUGCCCCUGAGCUCACAGAUCUUCCUGCCUCUGCCUCUGGAGUGGUGGGGUUAAAGGCCUGCAUCACCACUGCAUGGCAAUUUUCUGAUUUAAAAAAAAAAUGUUCUGGGCUGGAGAGAUGGCUCAGUGGUUAAAAACACUGACUGGGGGGUUGGGGAUUUAGAUCAGUGGUAGAGCGCUUGCCUAGCAAGCACAAGGCCCUGGGUUCGGUCCUCAGCUCCGGGGGGGGGGGGGGAGCACUGACUGCUCUUCCAGAGGUCCUGAGUUCAAAUCCCAGCAAACCCAUGGUGGUUCACAACCAUCUGUAAUGGGACCUGAUGUCCUCUUCUGGUGUUCUGAGAACAGAUACAGCGUACUCAUAUAAAUAAAUCUUAAAAAAAGAAAAAAUUCUACAGCUCCUUCAUUCAUACCCUCCCACCUAUGCCUCGCCAAUGCUAAGAUUGUAGGACUAUGGAACUGUUAGUGCUUUCAUGGAGGUCUGACCCCAAAUGGAGGAUUUGAAAAGUUUAAAAUUUUUAAAGAUCGAUUUUUUCCCCCAGUGCUAGGGAAUGAACCAAAGGACCUGCUAGCUGAGUUCUUCGCACUGAGUUUGCUCCUUUAAAAGCUAUAAAAGCACGAGUCAAACCCACACUAACGCAGUCUUGUGUCCUCCAGAUGUAUGCGUUACAAACCUCUUAAAAUGGGGAAUCAGGGCUGGAGGAAUGGCUCAACACUUAAGAACAUUUGUUGCUCUUAAAGAGGCCGUGGGGGGUUGGGGAUUUGGCUUAGUAGUAGAGCGCUUGCCUAGCAAGAGCAAGGCCCUGGGUUCGGUCCCCAGCUCCAAAAAAAAAAAAAAAAAAAAAAAAAAAAAGAGUGGGUUUGGGGAGGAGGUGGUGGCCCACAUCUUUAAUCCCAGCACUCAGGAGGCAGAGGCAGGAGGAGCUCUGAGUUCACAGACAGCCUGGUCUACAGAAUGAGGUGCAGGACCGCCAAAAAAAAAAAAGGGGGGGGGGGGCUGGAGAGAUGGCUCAGCGGUUAAGAGCGCCCUACCGCUCUUCCAGAAGUCAUGAGUUCAAUUCCCAGCAACCACAUGGUGGCUCACAACCAUCUGUAAAGAGAUCUGAUGCCCUCUUCUGGUGUAUCUGAAGACAGCUACAUUUAUUAUAUUAUUUAUAUAAUAAAUAAAUAAAUCUUUAAAAAAAAAAAAAAAAAGACUGGAGUUUGACUCCCAACACCCACCUGGCAACUCACAACCUUAUGUAAGUCCCAUUCCAGGGGAUCCGAUGCCCUCUUCUGACCUCUGAGGGCACCAGGUAUGCACAUGGGUGCACACACUAAAUACAGGCAAAGCACUCAUGUACCAUCAAAUAAUAAAACAAAUAUCUAAAAUUGUAAAAAUAAAAAUCAAGAUGCUAUCUCUCGUGAUUUGUAAGCUGCUUUUCUAUUCAAUCUCUCAUAGCUGUUUCCCUUGUUGUGAUUAAUUUAUUUUUUGGAGACAGGGAUAUAAUAUUAGGAAUAAAGAUUAGUAUUAGAAAAGGUAAGAAAGAACCUUUACCCCUGCACCCAAAACCUUGAAAUACCUGAAGUCUUUAUUGGUGAUGGGAAAUACGUCAAUGGCAAAGGGUUUUACUGUCACUUCCCGGGCAGGCCCUUCACCAUCUCUGCCGUCUGGAGCAUUGGUCCCCAUCAGAAACCGACCACCUGGCAGGUGCACCAUGGCAGGAUCCUGGGCAUGUCCUGCAGAACAGGACAAGUACUAGUAAUACAAACAGAUACAUUGGGCUGGAGAGAUGGCUCAGCGGUUAAGAGCACUGACUGUUCUUCCAGAGGUCCUGAGUUCAAAUCCCAGCAACCACAUGGGGGCUCACAACCCUCUGUAAUGGGAUCUGACGCCCUCUUCUGGUAUGUCUGUGGAUGGCUAUGGUGUACUCAUAAAAAUAAAUCUUUAAAGGGAAAGAAAAAACAAAAAUAAAAAACACAAAUAUAUGUACAUAGAUAAGGUUUGAUUUACCUCAUUAUUUUUUAUUUUACUAUAAUUAUAGUUAUUAUUAUUUGUUUUUUGAGACAUGGUUUCUCUGUGUAGCCCUGCUGUCCAGAGUCUCACUCUGUAGACCAGGCUGGCCUCAAACUCACAGAGAUCUGCCUGCCUUUGCCUCCUGAGUGCUGGGAAUAAAGGUGUACACCCCCAAAGCCACCCCUAACCCCACACACAUACCCUGAUUCUUUUUAAAAAAAUUUAUUGUUCUGUUGAAACAGGGCCUCACUGUGUGGACCUGGCUGGUUGGGAGCUCACUAUGUAGACUGGGCUGGCCUAAUGGGGUUCCACUUGCUUUUACCCACUGAGUGCUUAAACUAAAGACAUUCACUAAUACACCCUGCUUGCUUGCUUGCUAGCUUGCUUUCUUUUUAAGACUUAGUUAUUUUAUGUAUAUAAGUACACUGUAUCUGUCUUUAGACACACCAGAAGAGGGCAUCACAUCUCAUUACAGAUGGUUGUGAGCCACCAUGUGGUUGCUGGGAUUUGAACUCAGGACCUCUGGAAGAGCAGUCAGUGCUCUUAACCGCUGAGCCAUCUCUCCAGCCCCACACCCUGCUUUCUAAAACUGCAUUUAUUUUAUGAGUGUGUAUCUGCAUGUAUAUAAGUGCACUAUGUGUGUGCUUGGUACUCACAGAGGCCAGAAGAGGGCACUGAGUCCUCUGUAACCAGACAGAUGCUAGCUGCCACGUGGGUGCUGGGGACCAAGCCUAGGUUCCCAUCCUCAACAGACUCAGCAGUGCUCUUAAGUGCUGAGUCAUUUCUCCAGAUCAUACGUCAUUAGUUAUAUACCUCUCUCUCCCCAGAUCAUAUGUCAUUAGUUAUAUACCCCUCUCUCCCCAGAUCAUACGUCAUUAGUUAUAUACCCCUCUCUCCCCAGAUCAUACGUCAUCAGUUAUAUACCUCUCUCCCCCAGAUCAUACGUCAUUAGUUAUAUACCUCUCUCUCCUCAGCUAGGCAAAUUUAGAAACUGUAUCCUCAGAUACAUUUACGUUUUCACUCACACUCCCUCUACCCGGGCUACCUGACCAUUGGAGGCAAGGUCUUACUAUAUAGCUCAGGCUAGCCUUGAACUCAUAGAGAUCAACUUGCCUCUGCCCGCCAAGUGCUGGGAUUAAUGGGUAAGCCAGUACACCACUCACACUUCAUGCUGUUUCUAUCCCUCUUCCUUUGUGUUGGUGAAUACUUUAUUAUUUUAUUUUUGAGAUGAGGUCUCCUGUAGCCCAGGCUGGCCUAGAGCUAUGUAUCGGAGGAUGCUGCUGAACUCCUGACUUCAUUGCCUUAACUUCCUGGUGCUAAGGUAACAGGUGUGUACCGUUUGGCCCAGUUUCUGUGAUGCAGGGGAUGGAAAUUAGAUUCCAUGCUAGGCAUGCGCUGUACAACUGAAUCACCCUCAUAAUUUAUGGGCAUGUGUGCUAAGAAUUUUUCUGAGUUUAAAAAAAAUUUUCGGGCUGGAGAGAUGGCUCAGCGGUUAAGAGCACCCGACUGCUCUUCCAGAGGUCAUGAGUUCAAUUCUCAGCAACCACAUGGUGGCUCACAACCAUCUGUAAAGAGAUCCGAUGCCCUCUGUAUCUGAAGACAGCUACAGUGUACUUAUAUAUAAUAAAUAAAAUAAAUCUUUAAAAAAAAAUUUUCUCUCUCUCUUGUGAAAUACGGUUUUUCUGUGUAGUCUUGGCUGUCCCGGAACUCACUCUGUAGAUCAGGCUGCCCUUGAGCUCACAGAUCUUCCUGCCUCUACCUCUGGAGUGGUGGGGUUAAAGGCCUGCAUCACCACUGCAUGGCAAUUUUCUGAUUUAAAAAAAAAAAGUUCUGGGCUGGAGAGAUGGCUCAGCGGUUAGGAGCACUGACUGCUCUUCCAGAGGUCCUGAGUUCAAAUACCAGCAACCACAUGGUGGCUCACAACCAUCUGUAAUGGCAUCUGAUGCCCUCUUCUAGUGUCUGAAAACAGAUACAGUGUACUCAUAUAAAUAAAAUAAAUAAAUAAAUAAAAAAAAGAAAAAACUCUAUAGCUCCUUCAUUCAACGGGACCCUCCCAACCUUUGCCUCGCCAAUGCUAAGAUUGUAGGACUAUGGAACUGUUCCCCAGCUCAAGAACUUUGUGUGUGUCACAGGGGAUGGAGACCAGAGUCUCACAACAUGCUAGGCAGUGCUCGACCCCAGCCUCUCAUUUUAAAAUUAGAUCUUUUUUUUUUUUUAAUUUAUUUUACUGUUUCAUGACUAGGUCACCCCUCCCCCACCUUUCUCCAACUCUGGGCUGGCCUGGCUUGGCAGUCACAGAGAUCUGCCUACCUUUGCCUGUCAAGGGAUUAAAGGUGUAAGCGCCCAAGCCUUUCAGGGUCUUACAUUUACCCCUCUUCUCAUUCUGACACAAUUCUACCCAUCUCAGGAAUAAUGCUGAGAGGGGGAAAAAAACGAGUAAGCAGGGAGAUCUCAAAGGGGAACUAAAUAUUAAACUGUAAUAUAAACUAGCUUGAUUCUAAUUUAAUAAGCAAACUAGCAUUUAAUAGAUAGAUAUAGAUAUAUAGAUAUAGCUGGGCAGUGGCGGCCCUUUAAUCCCAGCAGUUGGGAGGUAGAGGCAUUUCUCUGAGUUUGAGCCCAGUCUGGUCUACAGAGUGAGUUCCAGAAUGGACAAGGAUACACAGAGAAACCCUGUUUCUAAAACCAAAAUUAAAUUUUUUUUUAGAGACCGGGUUAAGCCUUCCCUCCUUUGCCAGUAUCCGAAACACUCAUGGCACACAAACACAUAAAUGAAAAAGAAAAAUUCUUUUCAGGUCAUGUUUGGUGGUGCACACCUCUAACUAAGCCCAGCAUCUGGAGGCAGAAACAGAUGCAUCUUUGUGUUUUGAGACCAGCCUGGUCGACACAGUGAGAUCCUGUCACAUAACAAAAUACAAUCUGAGACCAUAUUUUGUGCCUUAUAAUUCCAACCCUUAAGAAGGUGCGGCAGGAGAUCACAAGCACAAGACUAGUUUGGGCUACACAGCCAAGACCUUUAUAACAAAAAAACCUUAUAAUGAAUUCGAGGUGAGCCUGGUCUUAAGGUUCCAGGCCAGACAGAGCGACGUAGUUGAGACUCUGCCUCAAAGAUAAAAUAGCGUGCUAGCAUAUAAGAGCACUUGUUGCUGUUGCAGGGAUCCAACGCUCAUGGUGUACAUACAUACAAGGAGGCAAAACCCGCAUACACAUUCUAAGAAAAACUUAAUCCAUAAGUAACUAGCGAUAAAAGGUGCAUUUAAACAGACAAUAUUGAGUACUGUUAAAGUAAGGUGGGAAAUGGCAUCGGAUUUCUGUGUAUGUGGCUUAAACCAAUCUUGAGCUUUUAAAGCUUUGUACAAAUAAAAGAUAUGCAUUACACUGGUGUCCCAGCUCAAGACGGGGGAAGUGGGAAAGGGAGAAAGGAAAACCAGAAUGCCUUACUCUCAGUGCCCCGGGCAGGGCUGCAUACCAGAGACCCUGCUUCAAGAAAUAAAGUGCAGUUUCAUGGUGGCUAGCCCCAGCAAGUAGCCCGAAACCCCGCGAAAAACCCUCCGAGGCGGGGGGUGGGGGCGCAGCACCUAGAACGCAGGGUACAGUCACUUUCAGGUGCUCAGGGAUGCGGGAAAUAGGCACAGGGCCACACACUGACCUAGCUGAAGCCUGGGGCAGGACAGGAGCCACAGCAGCAGGACAGGGAACAGGGAACCCAUGCUGAGGAGCCAGAACUCAGGACGCAUGCGUCUUUUCCGGGCUUCCUCGCGCCUGCGUACUUGUUGCUAAAGCAUACAUUCAGUGACCAAUGGCAGGGUGCUCUUUGGGAGCUUGCCUGUCAGGACCGCCCAUGAAUGAAUUAAACACCGGCCCACACCCAUUUUGAUUUUUUAAAAAAUCUAUUCUGUUAACAAGCCUGUGCAGGCCCACGGUGCUACAGCCACAGCUGGUCAGAAGCCGCCCAGGGUGCUGGGAACUGAACGGCCUGUCUGCGUGAACUAGUACUUCUAGGUAGUUUAGCCAUCUCUCUCCUCAGAUGUCCUCUUUUUCAGUUGAACUAAUCGCAAAACCAGCUUUCAAGUCUUUCACUCACUGUGGAAUAUCGAGACACCCCACCCCUAACAUUAUCAAACAUAGAAACCAAGAGGUGAGAAAAAAACUGAUAGGUAAGAGGCACAGGGUUGGGGAUUUAGCUCAGUGGUAGAGCGCUUGCCUAGCAAGCGCAAGGCCCUGGGUUCAGUCCCCAGCUCCGAGGGGGGAAAAAAAAAAAAAAACCCACAAAGAAUAGUUUAAAAAAUCUUGUGUUCCACCCAACCCCUUAAUUCUUCAACCGUCUUUCUUGGCUGUUAUAUUUGUAACUUUCUGCCUCUUGUGUUCCCAUACUUUCUGGAGGGGUUGGGCCGCAGAAUUCUGAUCCUCCAGUGUCCUCGUAAUAAUUUGGCUUAGCUUCUGAAGCAGUUUUGCAGUUAUUUCAAGUGUGAAUGACCCAGUAGCUUCACUCUUAAGUAUUUAUUAGAGACACUAUGAAACCCAUAAAUUACCCAUAUGUGUUUUACACUGGCAAGAAUCUUACAUGUAUAACAGGGAGUUGGGUAGAUAACAUCAAAUACAUCCACAACAAAAUUAUUCUUUUGAGCCGGGGUCUCCUGUAGCCUGAGUUGGUGCAGAACUUCUGACUUUAUUUCCAAAGUGCUAGGCUUACAGGCAGGAAUCGCCAUGCCUUAUUUAGGAGAAAACCAUUAUAAAAUUUCAAAGAACACUUGAGGAACAAGGUAGACAACAAUGCUUAUUAUGUAAUUUUGUAUCACUGUAACGAAAACAUCUUGUUCAGUGGAUUUAAAAAGACCUGCUUUAAGUGUAUUCACUCAAUGCAAAAAAAAAUUAAAUAAAAUUUACAGUAUUAUAAUUUGAAUAGGUGCCAAAUGUCCUGUUCCUUUUCUCCAAUCAGGAAGAGAAAAUUCUUUUCCAAAUCACUUGAAGCUUGGACAACCCCCCCCCCCCCCAACAUUCUGUAGCAUCCCAG
Long non-coding RNA from Rattus norvegicus (Norway rat), 7767 nucleotides. RefSeq lists it as uncharacterized. NCBI's taxonomy places the organism in Eukaryota, Metazoa, Chordata, Mammalia, Rodentia, Muridae. The record is from RefSeq and is a predicted model, not a curated record.